AUCCAGCUGAAGGGUCACAAAUAGGACGAAACACAUGUUCUGGGU
RNAcentral lists this non-coding RNA (45 nucleotides) under Schistosoma mattheei. Lineage: Eukaryota; Metazoa; Platyhelminthes; Trematoda; Strigeidida; Schistosomatidae. The record is from RNAcentral.